GACGAACGCUGGCGGCGUGCUUAACACAUGCAAGUCGAACGGAAAGGCCCUGCUUUUGUGGGGUGCUCGAGUGGCGAACGGGUGAGUAACACGUGAGUAACCUGCCCUUGACUUUGGGAUAACUUCAGGAAACUGGGGCUAAUACCGGAUAGGAGCUCCUGCUGCAUGGUGGGGGUUGGAAAGUUUCGGCGGUUGGGGAUGGACUCGCGGCUUAUCAGCUUGUUGGUGGGGUAGUGGCUUACCAAGGCUUUGACGGGUAGCCGGCCUGAGAGGGUGACCGGGGACAGGGGGACGGAGAGAGGGCGGGGCAGGCGACAGGGCGAAGCAGGGGGAAGCAGGGCACAGGGGCGUGGGGUGUGAGACAGCAGCCUCCGGUGCGGAAGGAGGGGUGACGGGGGAGGAAAAGAAGUCGCCGGAGAAGAACCGGGCGGGACGGUAAGGAAUAAAGAAGCAACGGCUAACUACGUG
This 468-nucleotide ribosomal RNA is filed under the name uncultured bacterium. Its description in RNAcentral is "partial 16S ribosomal RNA". The stretch from base 20 to 332 matches the Rfam family "Bacterial small subunit ribosomal RNA", at positions 47 to 358 of the family's 1533-position model. The record is from RNAcentral.